GGGGAAUAUUGGACAAUGGGCGCAAGCCUGAUCCAGCCAUGCCGCGUGUGUGAAGAAGGCCUUCGGGUUGUAAAGCACUUUCACUUGGGAAGAAAAGUUGGUCGUUAAUAGCGGCCAGCCGUGACAUUACCUUGAGAAGAAGCACCGGCUAACUCCGUGCCAGCAGCCGCGGUAAUACGGAGGGUGCGAGCGUUAAUCGGAAUUACUGGGCGUAAAGCGCGCGUAGGCGGUUUGUUAAGUCAGCUGUGAAAGCCCCGGGCUCAACCUGGGAACUGCAGUUGAUACUGGCCGACUAGAGUACGAGAGAGGGAGGUAGAAUUCCAUGUGUAGCGGUGAAAUGCGUAGAUAUAUGGAGGAAUACCGGUGGCGAAGGCGGCCUCCUGGCUCGAUACUGACGCUGAGGUGCGAAAGCGUGGGGAUCAAAC
Molecule: ribosomal RNA, 425 nt
Filed under: uncultured bacterium
Lineage: Bacteria
Description: bacterial SSU rRNA
Rfam family: Bacterial small subunit ribosomal RNA
Source: RNAcentral